AAACCAACAGGGAUUGCCUCAGUAACGGCGAGUGAAGCGGCAACAGCUCAAAUUUGAAAUCUGGCCUCUUUGGGGUCCGAGUUGUAAUUUGUAGAGGAUGUUUCGGGUACCGCCUCGGUCUAAAUUUCUUGGAACAGAAUGUCAAAGAGGGUGAGAAUCCCGUCUUGGACCGGCGGUAGGGCCCAUGUGAAACUCCUUCGACGAGUCGAGUUGUUUGGGAAUGCAGCUCAAAAUGGGUGGUAAAUUUCAUCUAAAGCUAAAUAUUGGCCAGAGACCGAUAGCGCACAAGUAGAGUGAUCGAAAGAUGAAAAGAACUUUGAAAAGAGAGUUAAACAGUAUGUGAAAUUGUUGAAAGGGAAGCGCUUGCAACCAGACUUGAGCGCGGCGGUUCCCCCUUCCUUCUGGUUGGGUUACUCCGCCGUGUCCAGGCCAACAUCGGUUCUGGGGGUCGGUUAAAGGCUUGGGGAAUGUAUCUACUCCUUCGGGGGUAGACUUAUAGCCCCAGGUGUCAUGCGACCUCCCGGGACCGAGGAACGCGCUUCGGCUCGGAUGUUGGCGUAAUGGUUGUCAGCGAC
This 575-nucleotide ribosomal RNA is filed under the name Exophiala nishimurae. Its description in RNAcentral is "eukaryotic LSU rRNA". It matches the Rfam family "Eukaryotic large subunit ribosomal RNA", at positions 62 to 648 of the family's 3401-position model. The record is from RNAcentral. Lineage: Eukaryota; Fungi; Ascomycota; Eurotiomycetes; Chaetothyriales; Herpotrichiellaceae.